RNAcentral lists this ribosomal RNA (645 nucleotides) under uncultured bacterium. RNAcentral's name for it is "bacterial SSU rRNA". It matches the Rfam family "Bacterial small subunit ribosomal RNA", at positions 8 to 648 of the family's 1533-position model. The record is from RNAcentral.
AGAGUUUGAUCAUGGCUCAGAUUGAACGCUGGCGGCAGGCCUAACACAUGCAAGUCGAGCGGUAGAGAGGUGCUUGCACCUCUUGAGAGCGGCGGACGGGUGAGUAAAGCCUAGGAAUCUGCCUGGUAGUGGGGGAUAACGCUCGGAAACGGACGCUAAUACCGCAUACGUCCUACGGGAGAAAGCAGGGGACCUUCGGGCCUUGCGCUAUCAGAUGAGCCUAGGUCGGAUUAGCUAGUUGGUGAGGUAAUGGCUCACCAAGGCGACGAUCCGUAACUGGUCUGAGAGGAUGAUCAGUCACACUGGAACUGAGACACGGUCCAGACUCCUACGGGAGGCAGCAGUGGGGAAUAUUGGACAAUGGGCGAAAGCCUGAUCCAGCCAUGCCGCGUGUGUGAAGAAGGUCUUCGGAUUGUAAAGCACUUUAAGUUGGGAGGAAGGGCAUUAACCUAAUACGUUAGUGUUUUGACGUUACCGACAGAAUAAGCACCGGCUAACUCUGUGCCAGCAGCCGCGGUAAUACAGAGGGUGCAAGCGUUAAUCGGAAUUACUGGGCGUAAAGCGCGCGUAGGUGGUUCGUUAAGUUGGAUGUGAAAUCCCCGGGCUCAACCUGGGAACUGCAUUCAAAACUGUCGAGCUAGAGUA